This 1074-nucleotide long non-coding RNA is filed under the name Cicer arietinum (chickpea). Its description in RNAcentral is "long non-coding RNA (CARI_LNC000137)". The record is from RNAcentral. Lineage: Eukaryota; Viridiplantae; Streptophyta; Magnoliopsida; Fabales; Fabaceae.
UGAGAUUAGAACUUUCCAAAAUUUUGGAUUACCACUGCGAAUAUAAGAAGCGAUAGAAUAUGCGUGGCUAUAUGGCAUGGCGGAGAUUGAGUUGGAUAUCAGCUCAUAAGGUAGUUGACAUCACCUUCUCCUUUAGUUGGCAAAAACCUGUACAGAAAAGUGGGUGAGAUUUGUAAUAUUAGCGGGGUUUCGUUUCAUUUCAUUCCUUGUUCUUGUGCUUAUUGGAUGAAGAUAGGUUAUCAUUCCAUUCAUGCACUUUAGGAGGAAAAUGGGGGGAAACAUUGUCAAACAGCAAAUGGCAAAUAUAUUGUUGCAGCAAGUGAGGAUUCCCAUGUAUACAUCUGGAAAAAUGAAGCCGAUUGCAGGCCUAACAGGAGUAAAGGUGUCACCGUGACACAGUCCUAUGAGCAUUUUCACUGUAAAGAUGUCUCAGUGGCCGCUCCCUGGCCUGGUAUGGGUGAUACAUGGGACAUGCGUGAUACAUUUUCUGGAGAACAACCGGAGCUUGAUAACAACAACGACGAAAUCACAUCAGCCAAUCAUCCUCCUACACCUGUAGAGGAAAACUUUGGUAAUGAGGGUUCACAGUCUGCUUCAGGUUACAAUAGUCCACACCAUGCAACCAUUGCAAGUGCAACAAAUAGUUACUUUUUCGAUAGAAUUUCUGCAACAUGGCCAGAGGAAAAACUUCUUCUAGCUGCAAGAAACCAAAGCCCUCGUGUCAGUAUGGAUUUCUCAAAUGGGGUAAGUCAAAAAAUGUCAGCCUGGGGUAUGGUGAUUGUUACUGCUGGUCUUCGAGGUGAGAUUAGAACUUUCCAAAAUUUUGGAUUACCACUGCGAAUAUAAGAAGCGAUAGAAUAUGCGUGGCUAUAUGGCAUGGCGGAGAUUGAGUUGGAUAUCAGCUCAUAAGGUAGUUGACAUCACCUUCUCCUUUAGUUGGCAAAAACCUGUACAGAAAAGUGGGUGAGAUUUGUAAUAUUAGCGGGGUUUCGUUUCAUUUCAUUCCUUGUUCUUGUGCUUAUUGGAUGAAGAUAGGUUAUCAUUCCAUUCAUGCACUUUAGGAGGAAAAUGGGG